This 889-nucleotide long non-coding RNA is filed under the name Strongylocentrotus purpuratus (purple sea urchin). RNAcentral describes it as "uncharacterized LOC115927356". Lineage: Eukaryota; Metazoa; Echinodermata; Echinoidea; Camarodonta; Strongylocentrotidae. The record is from RNAcentral.
AUAGGGUGGUAUUCUCGAAAGCGGCCUAAGUUAAAUCAGUGGCCUAAACCUGGUUUAAACCAUGGACUAUCUUUUUUGCUAUUCUCGAAGGUGGCCUAAAGAUAAGCCAGGCUUAAAUACGUCAUAGUUCGGCCUAACUUUAGGCCGCUCAGAGGGCAGGUUUAAAUACGUCAUAGUUCGGCCUAACUUCGCGUGACGUCACUUUUUAGUUAAAUCGACUGUCCGCGGAGAGUGAACGGUUCUUUUCAAUUGAUGCAUGGGGAUGGAGAAAAAAAAGGCCUCUCCCAAGCUAUGGUGUCCCGCCUUGUGAAGUCCAUCUCAAUAGCCAUUGCCAGGAGAUGGGAGCAAUACAUCACAAUUCCUUCAGCAAGAGAGGUAGUCCUGCAGAGUGCAGACCCAACAUGAAUUGUAUAAUUACUGCCAUUUCCCUGGCGUUAAUAUGGUCGGUGCUAUUGAUUGCACCCACAUAGGCAUCUCUAAGCCAGUUGGCCCAACACCAGUUAUUUCCUGAACAGGAAAAUAUAGAUACUCCAUUUUUCUUGGAAAGUCUGCUGGAUGAUAUUUUUCUUCAGUAAAAUAAAUGAAGGCAAAUUCCCUGAUAACUGAGACAAAUUCAGAGAGAGGAAGGAGAACUACUGAGCUGCUGAAUUUCUGACAGACAUACUUGCAAGGACUAUGAAGUUCUACUUAGCCUCUUCAAUGAACCAGACUCCAUCUGCUGUAACUGUGACUUCAUGGGGAUCAAAACCUGUGUAUUAUAAUCCUCAUAACAUGAAGCUAUGGUAACAAACAAGCAACCAUUGAUAAAAAGCCUAUGUCCUUGUUGUGUGUGUGAACCACAAAGCAACCAUCACUCAUAAGGAUGUUUUUAUGUACAUCAGAUGUUCAU